CUACAGGAUCUUGCACCCGCACAAAACAGUCUGAACAAUCGUUAAAAAGUAACUUUUUUUUAUGGAAGCUUCAAAAGACAUGCCUCUUCAUUGUAUUAGAUUAGAAAAAAAGGAUAAUCCACAAGACCCAACACACAUUGGAAAAGAAAACGAAAAUACAAAAAACACUAUCCACUGAUAUAUCUAAGAUAGACUAAAAGCUUCCAACUUGAUCAUUCACCAGUUACAGAAACACAACCACCAGUUUAUAGUAGUAAUAACACAGUCCUCCAUCGCCACUAGCCUCAGCUAUCGGUCUCGGAUACUGAAUGACCAGUGUACCCGAGCCUCUCCGAUAUCAAAUUUACAGCAUCGCGCCCCCCUUCUUGGCCGCUUUACUUCUUGGCCUUACGGGACGGCGCUUUCCGCACCGGGGUCGCCGCCUUCUUCGAGGGAGCGGCCUUCUUGGCAGGGGCCUUCUUCGCGGCAGCAGCGGACUUCUUGGCCACCGGCGCCUUCUUCCCUGGCGUGUCCUUGGCCGACGUCUUCGCCGCCUUGGCGGGGCGGCCGGCUUUCUUAGCAAGUGGCUUCGGCUUAGCGCCGGCGGUCUUGGGCUUCGCCUUGGCAGCUGGCUUGGCCUUGGGCUUGGCGGGUGUCUUCGGCUUCACUACGGCUUUCGGCUUCGCGGCGGGCUUGGGCUUUGUGGCGGGCUUCGCCUUGGCGGGGGUCUUAGCUUUGGUCUUGGCAGCGGCCUUGGGCUUCUUAGCGCCGGUCUUGGGCUUCUUCGGGGCGGCCUUGGGCUUGGGAUUCGGCUUGGUGGCGGCGGACGACAGCUUGUACGAGUUCUUCACCUUGGUCAGCUUGCCGCCGGCGACGAGCUUCUUGAGCUGAACGUUCAGAAGCUUGCGGAAGUUGGGCGGGAGCUUGUCCUUGUGCUUGUCCUCCACGAACUUGGCAAUCGCAUAGCUGCUGGACCCCGUCCUCUCCUUGAGCGACGUGAUCGCCUCCGAGACCAUCUGCGCACCGACCAUCCACUAUUCAGUAAGAUCCAGACGCGGCGGAGAGGCACGCACAGCACGGCACGGCAGAAGGAUCAAAGGGAGGGCACCAAUUACCUCGGCGUACGGCGGGUGGGUCGGGCUGGCGCGCUUCUUCGGCGCGGUGGCCUUCUUGGCCUUGGCCGGCUUCGCGUCGGCAGCAGGCGCCGCCGGGGCGUCGGCGGGCGCCUCUGGGGCCGCAUCCACCAACGGCGCGGGAGUCUCAGCCACGUCGGUCGCCAUCAAAGCAGGACUCGGACCUCGACGUGGAAGGAGGGAGCGAGCUCGGGUGUGCCGAUGGGAGAGAGAAGGCGAGAGCUGUGUGCUGGUUAUGUGUGGAGGUCGGG
This 1363-nucleotide unclassified non-coding RNA is filed under the name Zea mays. Its description in RNAcentral is "misc RNA Zm00001eb212830". Lineage: Eukaryota; Viridiplantae; Streptophyta; Magnoliopsida; Poales; Poaceae. The record is from RNAcentral.